GAUUAACGCUAGCGGCAGGCAUAAUACAUGCAAGUUGAACGGCAGCACAGGUAGCAAUACUGGGUGGCGAGUGGCGCACGGGUGCGUAACACGUAUGCAACCUACCCUAUACAGGCGAAUAACCUUUAGAAAUGAGGGCUAAUACGCCGUAGUAUUACAGAUGGGCAUCUAUUUGUAAUUAAAGAUUUAUCGGUAUAGGAUGGGCAUGCGUCCCAUUAGUUAGUUGGUAAGGUAACGGCUUACCAAGACGAUGAUGGGUAGGGGAUCUGAGAGGACUUACCCCCACACUGGUACUGAGACACGGACCAGACGCCUACGGGAGGCAGCAGUAAGGAAUAUUGGGCAAUGGCCGCGAGGCUGACCCAGCCAUGCCGCGUGCAGGAAGACGGCCUUAUGGGUUGUAAACUGCUUUUAUACGGGAAUAAUAGAGUGUACGCGUACAUUUAUGCAAGUAUCGUAUGAAUAAGCAUCGGCUAACUCCGUG
RNAcentral lists this ribosomal RNA (484 nucleotides) under uncultured bacterium. RNAcentral's name for it is "partial 16S ribosomal RNA". It matches the Rfam family "Bacterial small subunit ribosomal RNA", at positions 28 to 507 of the family's 1533-position model. The record is from RNAcentral.